This 252-nucleotide ribosomal RNA is filed under the name uncultured Bacteroidales bacterium. Its description in RNAcentral is "partial 16S ribosomal RNA". It matches the Rfam family "Bacterial small subunit ribosomal RNA", at positions 524 to 776 of the family's 1533-position model. The record is from RNAcentral. Lineage: Bacteria; Pseudomonadati; Bacteroidota; Bacteroidia; Bacteroidales.
UACGGAGGAUCCGAGCGUUAUCCGGAUUUAUUGGGUUUAAAGGGUGCGUAGGCGGGAUGCCAAGUCAGCGGUCAAAUACGGGGGCUCAACCUCCGCCCGCCGUUGAAACUGACGGUCUUGAGUGGGCGAGAAGUAUGCGGAAUGCGUGGUGUAGCGGUGAAAUGCAUAGAUAUCACGCAGAACCCCGAUUGCGAAGGCAGCAUACCGGUGCACAACUGACGCUCAGGCACGAAAGCGUGGGUAUCGAACAGG